AGUGAUGAAGGCCGUCGGGUCGUAAAACUCUGUCCUCAAGGAAGAUAAUGACGGUACUUGAGGAGGAAGCCCCGGCUAACUACGUGCCAGCAGCCGCGGUAAUACGUAGGGGGCUAGCGUUAUCCGGCUUUACUGGGCGUAAAGGGUGCGUAGGCGGUCUUUCAAGUCAGGAGUGAAAGGCUACGGCUCAACCGUAGUAAGCUCUUGAAACUGGGAGACUUGAGUGCAGGAGAGGAGAGUGGAAUUCCUAGUGUAGCGGUGAAAUGCGUAGAUAUUAGGAGGAACACCAGUUGCGAAGGCGGCUCUCUGGACUGUAACUGACGCUGAGGCACGAAAGCGUGGGGAGCAAACAGGAUUAGAUACCCUG
RNAcentral lists this ribosomal RNA (367 nucleotides) under Clostridioides difficile. RNAcentral's name for it is "bacterial SSU rRNA". It matches the Rfam family "Bacterial small subunit ribosomal RNA", at positions 404 to 789 of the family's 1533-position model. Lineage: Bacteria; Bacillati; Bacillota; Clostridia; Peptostreptococcales; Peptostreptococcaceae. The record is from RNAcentral.